CCUACGGGUGGCAGCAGUGGGGAAUAUUGGACAAUGGGCGAAAGCCUGAUCCAGCCACGCCGCGUGAGUGAUGAAGGCCUUCGGGUCGUAAAGCUCUGUGGGGAGGGACGAACGUUCCGGCGAAGAGCCGGAGGUGACGGUACCUCCUUAGCAAGCACCGGCUAACUUCGUGCCAGCAGCCGCGGUAAUACGAAGGGUGCAAACGUUGCUCGGAAUCAUUGGGCGUAAAGCGCACGUAGGCGGCUUCGCAAGUCGGAUGUGAAAUCCCUCGGCUCAACCGAGGACGUGCAUCCGAAACUGCGAGGCUUGAGUACUGAAGAGGAUCGCGGAAUUCCCGGUGUAGAGGUGAAAUUCGUAGAUAUCGGGAGGAACACCAGUGGCGAAGGCGGCGAUCUGGGCAGAUACUGACGCUGAGGUGCGAAAGCGUGGGGAGCAAACAGGAUUAGAUACCCUAGUAGUC
RNAcentral lists this ribosomal RNA (460 nucleotides) under uncultured bacterium. RNAcentral describes it as "bacterial SSU rRNA". It matches the Rfam family "Bacterial small subunit ribosomal RNA", at positions 338 to 795 of the family's 1533-position model. The record is from RNAcentral.